AAAAGAUAAGGAAUGAAGUUGGGUUGGCUCCCAACAAGCGCUUGGUUUAGAGUCAAUAGCCCAACUUUUGGAAAUGCAGUUGUCGCAUAUGGUUUUGGCCGAUGACCAUUAACUUUGAAAGUUGUACCGUUGAGAUCAAUCAAAGGACCAACGAGUGUGAAGUUUCCCGGGAAAGAGUUUCAACCGUGAGUUGUAGAUGAGAAUGCCUUUGACCCACAUAAAAUUCUUUCUUCAAGAUGUGCUUGUCAUGCCACUUCUUU
RNAcentral lists this long non-coding RNA (260 nucleotides) under Prunus persica (peach). RNAcentral's name for it is "long non-coding RNA (PPER_LNC006971)". Lineage: Eukaryota; Viridiplantae; Streptophyta; Magnoliopsida; Rosales; Rosaceae. The record is from RNAcentral.